AGAUACAGAAAAAGCUUGCCCUGAAGCUUUGCAGAUUUGAUUUUUGAAAGCUGGAGAGAUGAGGAUGGGAGAAUGAAGGAGCAGUAAGGUUUGCCCAAUUGAUGACACAUUUAUGUAUAAUUUUUCAUGCUUUGGAAAACAAUUAAAAAAAAUUGUUCCAAGAA
Molecule: long non-coding RNA, 164 nt
Organism: Pan troglodytes (chimpanzee)
Lineage: Eukaryota; Metazoa; Chordata; Mammalia; Primates; Hominidae
Exons: 2
Source: RefSeq, a predicted model, not a curated record